This 468-nucleotide ribosomal RNA is filed under the name uncultured bacterium. RNAcentral describes it as "partial 16S ribosomal RNA". It matches the Rfam family "Bacterial small subunit ribosomal RNA", at positions 28 to 507 of the family's 1533-position model. The record is from RNAcentral.
GACGAACGCUGGCGGCGUGCUUAACACAUGCAAGUCGAACGGAAAGGCCCUGCUUUUGUGGGGUGCUCGAGUGGCGAACGGGUGAGUAACACGUGAGUAACCUGCCCUUGACUUUGGGAUAACUUCAGGAAACUGGGGCUAAUACUGGAUAGGAGCUCCUGCUGCAUGGUGGGGGUUGGAAAGUUUCGGCGGUUGGGGAUGGACUCGCGGCUUAUCAGCUUGUUGGUGGGGUAGUGGCUUACCAAGGCUUUGACGGGUAGCCGGCCUGAGAGGGUGACCGGCCACAUUGGGACUGAGAUACGGCCCAGACUCCUACGGGAGGCAGCAGUGGGGAAUAUUGCACAAUGGGCGGAAGCCUGAUGCAGCAACGCCGCGUGCGGGAUGAAGGCCUUCGGGUUGUAAACCGCUUUCGCCUGUGACGAAGCGUGAGUGACGGUAAUGGGUAAAGAAGCACCGGCUAACUACGUG